Molecule: long non-coding RNA, 2262 nt
Filed under: Canis lupus familiaris (dog)
Lineage: Eukaryota; Metazoa; Chordata; Mammalia; Carnivora; Canidae
Description: lncRNA (ENSCAFG00845028686.1)
Source: RNAcentral
GCGGCGCCGAGGGGGGCGGGAGGGGCCGGGAGGCUGCGCGGGCGGCGGCCGGGCUCCGAGGCCCGAGCGGCGGGGAGGCCCGCGGGCCGCGCGUGAGAACCGGCGCGGGCGGGCAGACGGGAGCAGGUGGUGCGGCCGGAGGGGGGCGGGGCGGGACGGGGCGGGACGGGAGCGACGGGAGCGGGCGGGGGGGCGCUUGGGCUCGUCCUCGAGCGGGGAGGGCGGGGAUGGACGAGCCGAGUCCUAAGCGUGAAGCCGGAAUCCGUCAAGGUUCCUUCACGCGGCUCAGAGAACUUGAAGAAGUUGUGUGCGUUCUGGUGGCGCUGGGCUCUAAAAUUUUCCUCUAUCCGAAUCCUGUUUUUGUUUUUACGUAUUUUCGAUGCCUGGUGGUAUCUUAUUAGAACUGAACAUUGAUCACUGUAUUUCACGAGGAUUGGGAGAAAAAGAACAAAAGGCGUCUAAAAAGGAACAUCCCAUUUCCGUGAUCCGCUCUACCGAAAUUUUGAGAAAGAAUAUGCUUCAGCAGCCGCACACGUUGAUCUUCAGGGCAGAGCGGGGGCUCUCGGCUGGGGACGGGAAGUCCAGACUCACCGUCAGCCUGGUCUCAGCCCCCAGCCCCGUCCCGCAGUCGUCGAGGCCCACGGUCCGUUUUACUCGCGUCCCCCUGGUGGUCCGCCCGUCGCUCCUGCCACGCUCCGGCUUCCUGGUACAGGCCCCCAGCGCCUUCCACCUGGAGCGCCGUGGUUUUCGGCUCGUUAGGAAAUCUCCGUUGCCUUCAGGAUAAGUCCCGUCUCCCUAGAUCCGCUUCGCAAGGGCCUCCGAAUCCUGUCUCCAGCAGGAUCGUCCACCUGCGGCCGCUCCCCACUCCCCCCCCCCCCCCCCCCCCGAGCUCCAGCCCACCUGAGUGGCUCUCGGUUCUCCAGGGCGACGGUCCUCCCCAGCUUCGGCAACACGCCCCGGCCUCCUCCUUUCGUAAGAGGUGGCUUCCUUCCUUUCCCUCACCUCCUAACCCCGAGUGAAGGGCCGGUGGCGUCCCUCCCAGCAGGGUGCACCCGUCGCCCUGCGCUGCGCUCGCCUGCUGUGCGCCCGGGGUGCUCCAGCCCACACCAGCUCCUCGGAACCGGGCUGCUGCAUCCCGCUCACCAUUGUUCCCAGCUCCCCAGGACGGUCCUUGGCAGUACUGGUCGGACCCUCUAAGAAUUCAGCGACCGGCGUAGGAAAACAAAAAUUAGAGUCGCCUUAGGUAUCUACCGACAGAUUUAUCUUAUGUUGCUGUGUUUUUCAGUUUUGAAUGCUCCUCAUUUAAUCAGAAGUUUCUCUAGAAGAAUAACUUUUUUAAAAAAAUGAUAUAAAUUUUGCUUAGACCAUUCUGAUGUUUUUGUCACAAUUAACCAUAAAUCUUUUUUAGCAGCCAUCGUGUGUGUGGUUUGUGAAGUGAAAUUCUGGAACAGUAGCUCCCUGUUUAACGUUAAGGGGCAGAAAUGUUCAUGUUAAGCCCAGGCUCUGAAACUUUAAAACUGAGCUGAAACUAAAUGCCAAAAAAUGAUAGUGGAAGGAAAGAACAUUAUGGUGGACGUUCUGAUCCUUGAUUGUUAUUAUUAAUUUUUAGGACAGCAAUUAUCAAUAUGUUAGGAAAUUGUCCUGAUACUGACUUAAAAAAAUAUCCUGUACUCUUAAUAUUUUUCUUUUGUUUAAGAGAUGUCAUGGUAACAAAUUGAAAUUAUCAUUUUCCUUGUGCUCCUUCUGAGCUAGCAGUGUUACAUAUGUACAUUUAGAUCUGUAGUAUUUCUAAACACCACCCUGCUACACACUUUCAAUAAAGUUAAACAAGAAUUCUUUGUUGAGAGAUGUAAUAUUUGGAGGGGGGGGUAUAAGGGAAUAAAUCUUAACUACUACAAAUUGUUUCCCUUCAGCCUUACUCUGAAGGAGAUCCUUGUUGGUUUUCUCAUUACUGUACAACUAGCCUGUUGACUCUGUUACACUUUGGUGGAGGGGAGUAUAAUUUAGUAAGAAAUAAAAAUUUUUUUUAAAAAGAGAAAAUUUCUUUAGUAAAAUAGGCAAAAAAUUAAUGAGAUCAUAUAAAAGUGAAACCAAGUAAUGUAUUUAAAGUAUUUGGGGCAGGAAAAAAAAGGCAUCAUAAUUAUUUACUGUUCUGUAGAUAAGUAUUCUCUCAGUAUGUAUCAUAUCUAUUUAUAUAAAGGACAAACUGAAUAAUUAUCAUAAAUAAUAAGGGAAAAGUAAACCCCAAAGGGCUUCUCUUAG